ACGCACGCUGGCGGCGUGCUUCACACCUGCAAGUCGCACGCUGAAGCUCAGCUUUUGUUGGGUGGAUGAGUGGCGAACGGGUGAGUAACACGUGAGUAACCUGCCUCCUUCUUUGGGAUAACGCCCGGAAACGGGUGCUAAUACUGGAUAUUCACUGGUCUUCGCAUGGGGGUUGGUGGAAAGGGUUUUUCUGGUGGGGGAUGGGCUCGCGGCCUAUCAGCUUGUUGGUGGGGUGAUGGCCUACCAAGGCUUUGACGGGUAGCCGGCCUGAGAGGGUGACCGGUCACAUUGGGACUGAGAUACGGCCCAGACUCCUACGGGAGGCAGCAGUGGGGAAGAUUGCACAAUGGGCGCAAGCCUGAUGCAGCGACGCCGCGUGAGGGAUGGAGGCCUUCGGGUUGUGAACCUCUUUCGCUCAUGGUCAAGCCGCAACAAUGGUUGUGGUGAGGGUAGUGGGUAAAGAAGCGCCGGCUAACUACGUG
This 482-nucleotide ribosomal RNA is filed under the name uncultured bacterium. RNAcentral's name for it is "partial 16S ribosomal RNA". It matches the Rfam family "Bacterial small subunit ribosomal RNA", at positions 29 to 507 of the family's 1533-position model. The record is from RNAcentral.